Oncorhynchus masou masou (cherry salmon) is the source of this 4745-nucleotide RNA transcript. It is a transcript of the gene named ring finger protein 180b, with no coding region annotated. NCBI's taxonomy places the organism in Eukaryota, Metazoa, Chordata, Actinopteri, Salmoniformes, Salmonidae. The transcript is spliced from 8 exons. The record is from RefSeq and is a predicted model, not a curated record.
AUUGUCCUCUAACUUUCGGACAAAUUUUUCUUCUAUUAAAAUGUUAAUUAAUUGUUUCGAAGGGAACGCAUAGGAAUUUGGAAAUCCCAGAUGAGAACAGCAGACAUCAGUCUCUAUGGACAACCCAGGGGCAGUGGCUAUGCUCCGCUGCAGGAAGUGUCGUAAAGGUUUUGUAGACACAGCAUGCCUGCAUCCGAUAGUGCCUGAUGAUGACACAACGGCAGCAGGUACAUGCAGUGUCUGGCACAUGAACGUUGAUACACUGCCAGAGUGGAUACUGACGUCAGUUCACCAGGCCCAGUGGACAGUGGGGAAGCUGAACUGUGGGAACUGUGGUGCUCGCCUGGGUGGCUUCAACUUUCUCAACAACACCAAAUGCCCCUGUGGUCAGGAGUCCACCGUGCACCUUAGCAAGAGUCGGGUCGACCAGGACCACAAACGCUACCUUCAUGUGGUCAGACCGCAGACGACGAGAGGUAGGGGAGGACCGGGCUGCCUGAAGGGCGAGCCGGUGGGUUCUCACAGUGAGCAGUACAGGUCUGAAGUCGGGGAGGACUUUCUGGUUGGCUCACAGCUCUGCUGUACUUCUGUGUCCCGCCUUAACGCUGAGAGCCGACCAAUCACAACACACCCAGAUGCCUUUUUCCAGUUGGCUGACAUCAGAGCCACCCAAUCAGUUCCAUUGAGCUCCCCCAGCAUUGUUUCUCAUACGAAGUUUGGUGCGAGGGGCAGGUUGGAACCCUCCUGUAGCUCUGGCUCCCAGACUGGCCCUGUUGAAGUGACUGAGGGAGAGGUGAGGACUGGGACAGAGCAGCUGCCCUAUUCACCUGUUGUGUCCCACACCCCUCAUCUAUUUGCAACGAGUAUUAUUAGGUCGCCUACCUGCCUAUCACGUCUGACUAGAGAGACCCCUGGUUCUCGUCUUCUCUCCCUGAGAGGGCCAGGUGUCUCCCACAUCCCUGGAGAGCAGGAGGAGGAGAGAAGGGGAACCCCCACAGAGCUCCAGGCCCAGGUAGUAGCCAACAAUGCUUCUCCAGCCAGACAAAGGUUCAGCAAGAAAGAGAAGAACUGGCUGAAGAGCCAGAGGAGGAAACAGAGGAAGAAAGAGCGCUGGCUCCACUCCCAGGAACAGAGUGUGACAGGGCUGCUAACAGACAGUGAGGAGGUGGACAGAGAGGGCUACACCUGUGCUGUGUGCCUGGAUGUCUACUUCAGUCCCUAUAGCUGUCACCCCUGUGGCCACAUCUUCUGUGAGCCCUGCCUCCGCACGCUGGCCAAGAACCGGCCAGCCAACACCCCCUGUCCCCUCUGCCGCACCCUCAUCUCACACACACUCUUCCAGAAAGAGCUCAACCAGACAGCUAAGACUUUUUUCCCGAAGGUCUACCACUCACGGAAACACAACUUUCAAAAAGCCAACUGUGCUAAAUGGCCUCUUCCCAAUUGCCCAAAACGUUUCCGCAUCUUUUGGAGGUACCAGGGGCAGGUGGCUCCAGGGAGGUGGUGGCACUUUGCCCCAGCAGGCUUUGCCCUGGAUGCCCUGGACCUGGCCGACAUGCGCGGCUGGUUCUUCGAUAUUGACCUGGUCAUCAUCUACAUCCACUCUGUCAACUGGAUACUGGCCCUGCUGGUUCUUUGCUUUCUAGCAUACCUAUUCUUGUCUUGAGUGCUGUUUGUGUAUUUAGCCAGCGAUGGCUGACCUCUAAAAAUGGUACAGCUGAGGUUUCUGGGUGAUGUAGUAUUGUGCCUAAUAGUGCUUACUGCCAGGUAACUCACCUGUCACCUCCAUAUGUUAACUGGAAUCAUGAGCAGUCCUGUGGGGAACUGUGAGGUGGGUUUUUUUUUUGCAGUUGGGGAGGUCAUAUGUAUAGAAAUACCAGUACUCAAAUGAAGUUGUGUAGAUGGGCUUAUUUCAUAUUUUGUGAGAGUUUUACAUAAAACAAUUUUGGAUUUACAGUGAAAAGAUUGUAUGAGGGAUAGAAGUGAAAACGAAAAACCAAUAAUUAUUAUUGUUUAAAAAAAAUCUGGUUAGGAAAUGCACAGAGAUCUAUAAUAAUAGGCCUAUUUUGAUAGAUGUAUGACCAGUGGGCCCGCUCUGUCAAGGACUUCCCUCAGGUCAUCAACAUGAAGGUAGAAUAAUCACAUACAGUACCAGCCAAAAGUUUGGACACACUUACUCAUUCCAGGGUUUUUCUUUAUUUUCACUAUAUUCUACAUUGUAGAAUAAUAGUGAAGGCGUCAACUAGGAAAUAACAUGUGGAAUCAUGUAGAAAGCAAAAAAGUGUUAAACAAAUCAAAAUCUAUUUUAUAUUUGAGAUUCUUCAAAGUAGCCACCCUUUGCCUAGAUGACAGCUUUGUACCCUCUUGGCAUUCUCUCAACCAGCAUCAUGAGGUAGUCGCCUGGAAUAUGUUUCAAUUAACAGGUGUGCAUUGUUAAAAGUUAUUUGUGGAAUUUCUAUCCUUCUCAAUGUGUUUGAGGCAAUCAGUUGUGUUGUGACAAGGUAAGGGUGGUAUACAGAAGAUAGCAAGUCCAAGUCCAUAUUAUGGCAAGAACAGCUCAAAUAAGCAAAGAGAAAUGACAGUCCAUCAUUACUUUCAGACAUGAAGGUCAGUCAAUAGGGAAAUGUCAAGAACUUUGAAAGUUUCUUCAGGUACAGUUACAAAAACCAUCAAGCACUAUGAUGAAACUGUCUCUCAUGAGGACCGCCACAGGAAAGGGAGACCCCGAGUUACCUCUGCUGCAGAGGAUAAGUUCAUUAGAGUUAACUGCACCUCAGAAAUUGCAGCCCAAAUAAAUGUUUUGCACAGUUCAAGUAACAGACACAUCUCAACAUCAACUGGUCAGAGGAGAAUGAGUGAAUGAGGACUUCAUGGUCGAAUUGCUGCAAAGAAACCACUACUUAAGGACACCAAUAAUAAUAAGAAGAGACUUGCUUGGGCCAAGAAACACAACCAAUGGACAUUAGACUGGUGGAAAUCUGUCCUUUGGUCUGAUGAGUCCAAAUGUGAGAUUUUUGGUUCCAACCACGGUAUCUUUUUGAGAUGCAUAGUAGGUGAACGGAUUACCUCCGCAUGUGUACUUCCCACCAUGAAGCAUGGAGGAGGUGGUGUGGGUGUGCUUUGCCGGUGACACUGUCUGAUUUGAUUUAGAAUUCAACGCAUACUUAACCAGCAUGGCUACCACAGCAUUCUGAAGCGAUACACUGUCCCAUCUGGUUUGCGCUUAGUGGGACUAACAUUUUUCAACAGGACAAUGACCCAACACACCUCCAGGCUGUGUAAGGGCUAUUUGACCAAUAAGGAGAGUGAUGGAGUGCUGCAUCAGAUGAUCUGGCCUCCACAAUCACCCAAACUCAACUCAAUGGAGAUGAGUUGGACUGCAGAGUGACGGAAAAGCAGCCAACAAGUGCUCAGCAUAUGUGGGAAGACUGUUGGAAAAGCAUUCCAAGUGAAGCUGGUUUAGAGAAUGCCAAGAAUGCACAAAGCUGUCAUCAAGGCAAAGGGUGGCUACUUUUAAAUAUAUUUUGAUUUGUUUAACACUUUUUUGGUUACUACAUGAUUCCAUAUGUGUUCUUUCAUAGUUGUGAUGUCUUCACUAGUAUUCUACAAUGUAGAAAAUAGUACAAAUAAAGGAAACCCCUUUAAUGAGUAGGUGUGUCCAAACUCUUGAUUGAUAAUGUACAUCUCAUAUAACUGUAAACGUUUUAUUCAAUAUGCACUACAUGACCAAAAGUAUGUGGAUACCUGCUCGUCGAACAUCUCAUUGCAAAAUCAUGGGGAUUAAUAUGGAGUUGCCCCUUGCUUCUAUAACAGCUUCCACUCUUCUGGGAAGGCUUUCCCCUAGAUGUUGGAACAUUGCUGUUGGGUCAAGGGCGUUACUGAGGUCGGGCACUAAUGUUGGGCAAUUAGGCAUAGCCAAACCCAGAUUUGUCAGAGGGACUGCCAGUAAAGUGUGAUUCAUUACUCCGGAGAACGAGUUUCCACUGCUCCAGAGUCCAAUAAUGGAGAGCUUUACACUACUCCAGCCAACGAUUAGCAUUGCACAUGGUGAUAUUAGGCUUGUGUGCAGCUGCUCAGCCAUUGAAACACAUUUCAUGAACAGUUCUUCUGCUGGAGUUGCUUCCAGAGGCAGUUUGGAACUUGGUUGUGAGUGUUGCAACCCAGAACAGAUGAUUUUUACGCUCUACACGCUUCAGCACUCAGCGGUCCCGUUCUGUGAGCUUCUGUGGCCUACCACUUCAUGGCUGAGCUCUUGUUGCUCCUAGACGUUUCCACUUCACAAUAACAGCACUUGACCGGGGCAGCUCUAGCAGGGAAGAAAUUGGACAAAAUUACUUGUUGGAAAGGUGGCAUCUCUAUGAGGCGCUACAUUGAAAGACCCUGAGCUCUUCUGUAAGGCCAUUCUGCUGCCAAUGUUUGUCUAUGGAGAUUUUAUACACCGAUUUUAUACACCUGUCAGCAACAGGUGUGUGUGAAAUAGCCGAAUCCACUGAUUUGAAAGGGUGUCCACAUACUUUUGUUUAUAUAGUGUAUUUUAGUACUGUUGCAAUUUUGUGUGUUGCAGGGACUCAUUGUAAUAUUUUGUCUUACCAGUGUGUCAUUCAGUGUAUUACCAAUGAUAGACAUCUUAUAUACAUUUUACAGAACAAAUUGCCAAAUCUCUGACCCGCUUGCUUUGGAGUCGUCGACGCCUCAACAGUUAACGGGAUGCCGGAGCAGUGACAAAUGGUUGGCUCAGGCUCCCC